AUGAACGCUAGCGGCAGGCUUAACACAUGCAAGUCGAGGGGCAGCAUAAUGAAGUAGCAAUACUGAAUUGAUGGCGACCGGCGCACGGGUGCGUAACGCGUAUGUAACCUACCUCUAACAGGGGGGAUAACACUGAGAAAUUGGUACUAAUACCCCAUAACACUUGAUUGGGCAUCCUAUUGAGUUGAAAGUUCCGGCGGUUAGAGAUGGACAUGCGUUGUAUUAGCUAGAUGGUGAGGUAACGGCUCACCAUGGCGACGAUACAUAGGGGGACUGAGAGGUUAACCCCCCACACUGGUACUGAGACACGGACCAGACUCCUACGGGAGGCAGCAGUGAGGAAUAUUGGUCAAUGGACGCAAGUCUGAACCAGCCAUGCCGCGUGCAGGAUGACGGCUCUAUGAGUUGUAAACUGCUUUUGUACAAGGGUAAACCCCGAUACGUGUAUCGGGCUGAAAGUACUGUACGAAUAAGGAUCGGCUAACUCCGUG
RNAcentral lists this ribosomal RNA (491 nucleotides) under uncultured bacterium. Its description in RNAcentral is "bacterial SSU rRNA". It matches the Rfam family "Bacterial small subunit ribosomal RNA", at positions 29 to 507 of the family's 1533-position model. The record is from RNAcentral.